RNAcentral lists this ribosomal RNA (345 nucleotides) under uncultured Pseudomonas sp. RNAcentral describes it as "bacterial SSU rRNA". It matches the Rfam family "Bacterial small subunit ribosomal RNA", at positions 1041 to 1382 of the family's 1533-position model. Lineage: Bacteria; Pseudomonadati; Pseudomonadota; Gammaproteobacteria; Pseudomonadales; Pseudomonadaceae. The record is from RNAcentral.
CUGCAUGGCUGUCGUCAGCUCGUGUCGGUGAGAUGUUGGGUUAAGUCCCGUAACGAGCGCAACCUUGUCCUUAGUUACCAGCACGUUAUGGUGGGCACUCUAAGGAGACUGCCGGUGACAAACCGGAGGAAGGUGGGGAUGACGUCAAGUCAUCAUGGCCCUUACGGCCUGGGCUACACACGUGCUACAAUGGUCGGUACAAAGGGUUGCCAAGCCGCGAGGUGGAGCUAAUCCCGGGAUAAAACCGAUCGUAGUCCGGAUCGCAGUCUGCAACUCGACUGCGUGAAGUCGGAAUCGCUAGUAAUCGUGAAUCAGAAUGUCACGGUGAAUACGUUCCCGGGCCUU